This is a non-coding RNA of Neolamprologus brichardi, 3000 nucleotides long. Lineage: Eukaryota; Metazoa; Chordata; Actinopteri; Cichliformes; Cichlidae. The record is from RefSeq and is a predicted model, not a curated record.
CACCUCACAAACAGCAGGUGGGUAUCUCCUCUGAACCUUUGGCUCCUACUGACACUGACCUCAUUACUACAUUUUCCAAAGCAGUGCGUGAUGACCUGUAAGAGCACAGUUGGUUUAUGUAACGCAGCAGUGUGAGGAAUUUGAUGCCCUGGAAAGAUUCAUCUAUGUUUUGGAAAACGGCAUCCUGGAGCUACUGGAGAACGUGAAAACGUACCUGCAACACCUGCAGGUCAGCAGCAGUCACUCUUUAUGGCUUUAAUAAAGGUUUCAGGCUGUGACUCAAGGUCAGCCUCUGCAGCAGCAUAUCACUACAGACAUGCAGUCAGGAGUCUGAGUCUCUGUCAGGAGGCCACACAUGUGUUUGUGUGUGGUUGGUCUGCGGGGCUUCCUGUCUGCCGCACGGAGGCCUUUGACUUGGACUGGACGGAGAAAAGGCACCGAUCUGCUACAAGGAGAUCACUACGGUACUCUGAUUAACUCUGAGAGCAGUGCUGUGGUCUUUACAGGUGCAGGAAGUGCUGCAUCCUGUCGGCUCGUGUCCAGUUAAGAGGAAAAGGAUGAGCAGCGCUCGCAGAAACAGCACUAGCUAAACUCUCUCUGUAUCACCUGUGUGUGGCAGGAGAUUUAAAGAUUACAUCACAGACUUCUGUCUUUGCAAACAGCUUCUGAUUAGCAGAUGGUCUGCAUCCUCCAUCCCGCCUCCAGUCUCCUCUUCACAUGCUCAGAACAUUAUCAUAGGUCAGAAACAGGCUGCCACGUCUCUGAGCGCGUGUAGAGGUGGACAUGCAUAUUUUGCCCCCCGUGAAAGGAUGAUGCACUGGACGACGGUCUGCUGAUGUUGGUCUGUUCUUUAUUCCUUCUUCCAGAAGAAGAGGAUGAGGUGAUCCACCAGCUUCCCUGCGCUCUCUGGGACCUCUGGAUGGGCCCGAGGAAUCUGAUCAGAAAGAGACUUGACAAGCUUCUCGACUACAAAGUGAUCGAUGGGAAACCCAACCUGAGCUACAAGGAGCAGGCUGUGGCCAAUGCGUACAGGUGGGAGCUGGUUUCUGAUGGUUGGAGGUGUGACUGGUGUGACCUCCUUUACUCCCCCUCUCCUCCUGACAGGAUGUUGAACACGCUGCUCCUGAAAGAGCUCCCUCAGUUUAAUGGGCUGGCUCUGCAGAUCAGGAGCAUGUUCGGGUCGUUCAGCUGUCUGCACAGAGAUCUCGCCGUAGACAUGGAGCAGCUGUUUCACAGCUUCGCUCAGCAGCUUCCUCACAGCAGCCUCUCUCCUGGUGCAUUCUGGGAGUGGGCAGAGUCUUCAGUGCUGGAAGGAGCAAGAAGGCUGAGAGAAUUUAUGUGAUUUACAGAAUCACCUUAGGGCGCUUUGUACUGUAAGCUACAGACCACUAUGGGCAAGUACUUGGCGACAGUGGAAAGGAAAAACUCCCUUUGAACAGGAAGAAACCUCGAGGCUCAGGGAGGGGCAGCCAACUCCUGCGACAUGUUGGAGGUGAUGAUCUUCCAGGCGACAGCCAUGGAAACAGAAGGAGGUGGCUGGUCGAAGCAGGAGGGAAGUGAGGCUAUGAUGCUGCCUCGAAACUCAUUCGCUAUCACGAGCCAACAGAAGACCCGCCCACUUCACCACACCUGACCCUGACAGAAGGUGUGACCGCAGGCAAAAGACACUCCUACAGCCCAGCAGGCCAUGCCCCACUGCCCGUGAGCUGCUUCCAGGUUGUGGGCACCUACAACUUCACAGCCAGAUCCAAACACAAAGUUUCCUUCUGGGCCAGAGAACCCGUUCAUGUCCUGGAGCCUCACAACAAACGAGGGAGCCCCGAGUGGAGCCUGAUGGAGGUCAGAGGAGGUCAGAGAGGCUACAUGCCCUCCAACAACCUGGCAAUCAUGCCCGUGGGAGCGGGGCUGCCCUCGGGCACUGGCUUCUUCAUUUAGGGGAUGGAAACUGCAGCUGGUGCAAAUGAGAGGAUGCAUGGAAGAGCCUCCCGGGAUCGGUUGCUUACAGUCUCAGUGUUAAUCCUUCCACUGUAACCUGUUUACGACUGGAAGUGUAAAGUUUCUUCUUGUGAUGUUUCCUUCCUACUGGUCUGCAGUGAUCUGUGCACAAACAUAAAUGCAUAAUAUUCCAAGAACACUUUUCAAAGAUGGCAUCUGUAACGUCAUGAAGCUCUGAACGUGUAGAUGAUGUUUGAUUAGCGGUUUUAAGAUGAAGGACGAUUUUCAUGGCUGCUGUAUGAUGAAGCGCUCAUUUCCCAUGAUCCUCAGAGGCAUGCUGCAUGUUCUCAUUACAGGGUCUGAGUGCUAUCAAGUUAACUGUAACGUGUGUGUGUGUGUGUGUGUGUGUGUGUGUGUGUGUGUGUGUCCUCACCUGGAGCAGAGCUGACAGGUACAUGGCGCUCUCAUCAUCUCAGACUGUGUAAUGUGAUGUAAAUGUGAAAGGUCUCCGGGGCCGAGGAAGAACAAGACUCAGCAGGAGGAGGAGGAGGAACAGGGAGAGGGGUGAAGGAGAACACCAGUUUCCCGCUCUGCCUAUGAGCUGAUUUAAAUUUCGUUGCACUUUGAUUCCCGAAUUUUAUGUAGGAAGAGUGAAAUGGGUCAGUCAGAACAGAAUAAGGUCCUCUUGCAGUCACAUUCACCCGACGAUGCUUGUUGCUAUGGAUACAGCUCAGGCAGUGCAGGUCAUGUCUGUGGAGUUUGCUCGGCUGCAGCAGCAUUUCUUGAUUCCAGCACUUUAAACAUUUUUGGCUCAGAAUCAUUUGAAAGCAUCUCUGAGCGCGUGCUGAUUGGCUCUCAGGACAUAAAAUGAACCUGAGCUCCAGUAGUUUUGCAGAUGACAGCAGUUUUAACCUUUGAGCACCACAUACUCUGUCCUGGCCUCCUUCUGUGAAGUUGAGCAGCCUCAGCUGCUGUGAGCAUGGAGCAGAGGGAGGGAGGCCGGGAGUCUGAGCUGCUCAGCUGUUCCCAUCAGGCUGAAUGUCAGGAGGAGGAGGAGGAGGAGGA